This 189-nucleotide ribosomal RNA is filed under the name uncultured bacterium. RNAcentral describes it as "partial 16S ribosomal RNA". It matches the Rfam family "Bacterial small subunit ribosomal RNA", at positions 1305 to 1500 of the family's 1533-position model. The record is from RNAcentral.
CUGGAACUCGCCUGCAUGAAGUUGGAUUCGCUAGUAAUCGCGCAUCAGCCAUGGCGCGGUGAAUACGUUCCCGGGCCUUGUACACACCGCCCGUCAAGCCAUGAAAGUCGGGGGUGCUUGAAGUACGCUUACCGUAAGGGGCGUCCUAAGGCAAAACCGAUAAUUGGGGCUAAGUCGUAACAAGGUAAC